AAAAUAAAAAGACAGAAAUAGUAAUUGAGGCCAUUGGACCUCAAAUUAGCGAACCCCUAAAAGCAUCGUCAUGUAAAGAAUUACUUGCAAAAUACGGUUCGUUACCUAAUGGAGCAUAUGACUUGGAAGCAAAUGGCGUUCGAUUUACUGUAUACUGCCACAUGACCCAACUAGGU
This is a long non-coding RNA of Dendronephthya gigantea, 176 nucleotides long. RefSeq lists it as uncharacterized. The transcript is spliced from 3 exons. Lineage: Eukaryota; Metazoa; Cnidaria; Anthozoa; Malacalcyonacea; Nephtheidae. The record is from RefSeq and is a predicted model, not a curated record.